Carassius gibelio (silver crucian carp) is the source of this 3301-nucleotide long non-coding RNA. RefSeq lists it as uncharacterized. Lineage: Eukaryota; Metazoa; Chordata; Actinopteri; Cypriniformes; Cyprinidae. The transcript has 4 exons. The record is from RefSeq and is a predicted model, not a curated record.
GCGAGAAGAAUGGAGUUUGAUGCUGGAGCGUCAUCAUUGCCUAGUGACACUCCUAGCAACAGGAAACAUCUGUUUCAGCGUCGACCAAUCAGGAGCCGGUGCAGUCUGUUAUUGCUCGCUGCACAGAAAGGGGAUAUUUUAAGAGCCGAGAGUGAGCCGAAUACUACAGGGAUUAUAUCAAAAGCAAGACUUCGACAUCUGGGGGCGAAGCGUCAAGCUCACGCGGAGCUGAAAGCGGCUACAUUCGGCACGUUAUGAGCUGUUUUGAGCCUCUGGUUUGAUGAACGCGCGUGCGGGGACUGUUAAUGUGGCUUUAGAAAUAAGGAUCCAUUAGGCAAUGUGUGUGAGCCAGAGGAAAGAGUCUCAGGUCAAUAGAGGAUUUGUCAGAGAGGUGUGUGACUGUGUCCACGUGAAGCAGUUCUCAGGGUCUUUCCUCUAAGAGUGCCCUAAACGGUCAACAACGUCGAAAGUCGCCUACUUUAAGCGAAAAUAUGCGGAAGAGGAGGAUGUUCAGGGAAGCCUACAUGGAUAUUUACAAAAACACCUGAUCCUGCGUGAGGAGCGCAGCUGCAUCCUGCGCCUGUCUCUGCAGAAGCUGCGUUUCCUAGAUGACCCCGAGGCUUACCUUCGCCGCUCUGUGCUCAUCAACAACCUGCUACGCAAGAUCCACCUGGACGAAGCCCAGAGGGAAAGAGAGAAACAGAGGGAUGACAAGGAAGGGGAGGAGGAGACGGAGAGGAGGCGGAAGAGACUGAAGGUGGUGCUCCAGGAGUUCCAGCAGUACAAGCUGCUGCCGUUCUCAUCUUCUCCAGCCACGUGCAUCUGCGGCCUGGGCAGCUGCCACACCCUGCCUCCUGAUCAUGGAGCUUCAGUGCUGCUCUAUCACUUAGAUGAUAAAGGAUAAGAUGUCAUGCACACAUGCAGGGGAUUUUUCAUCUAUCUAUGACUGAUUUCCAGGAGCCAGCAUUAAGGGAGAAGAGGAUUCUGGUUUGUGUGCAUUUGUGCUUGUGCUGGUGAGCGUGAGCUCUGCGGUUAGUGACAUGAUAGGUGUCUAUCCAUAUCAGGGUGCAUUUUCCAACCGGAAAAAGACAUCAUCUUGUUAUCACUGCUUUGUUGAUAUGAACUUUGACCACAGACAUUUUGUUUUCAUAAAUUUGCUUGAGUGAGCUAUAAUCUUAAAGGGUUACUCCACCCCAAAAAAAACUAUUUUGUCAUUAAUCACUUACCCCCAUAAGUUCCAAACCUUUAAAAGCUUAGUUCGUCUUUGGAAACACAAUUUAAGAUAUUUUCAAUUUAAGAUACUCUUCUGUGUCAGCCACGCUGCAUGCUUUUGCUGUUUUCAAAUCAAAGUGUAAAUACACAUAGAAAAUGUAUCCUUGUGUCGCGGCUGACAGAACAGCAUACGCGGCUUGCCUUCAGCUCAUAUUCUCAUAAAUGGCUCUGUGGUGAUGCGAGAUACACAGAAGAGACGAAUUGUUGAAUAAAGUUAAUAAAAUUUUUGUUUUCUUUGCGUACAAAAAGUAUUCUCAUCAAUUCAUAAAGUAUCAUGAUUUUCUGGAUCUUGACAGUGUAACUGACUUUCAUAAGCCUCCCGGUUUUCAUCCAAAAUAUCUUAAACUGUGUUCCGAAGAUGUAUAAAGCUUUUACAGGUUUGGAACGACAUGGGGGGUAAGUGAUUAAUGACAAAAUUUACAUUUUGGGGUGGACUAUCCCUUUAAGCACUGUUUUCAGGGAUUAAAAAAAGGCAAAUGAAAAGCCGUGCACCUUGUGGUUGUUAUAUUAUGUUGUAAGAAAAAAAAAAAAGUAAACUGUAAGUGUCAAAGUCCUGGCUGCUCCUAAGGAUGGAGUCAUUUUUACUGAAGCUUUGUUGCUGUGAAAUGGACAUUUUUGUGUAAGUGGCUACUGAUGUCAAGCUAGUAAUGGAUUAAAAAAUAUAUAAGUUUCCAUAGCUUUAACAAAAAAUAACAAAAGAAAAGAAAACAGCAAAAUGUAGGGGCAAAUAAGAAGUGAAUUUUUUUCUUUCAGGGCGUUCUUUUGGUGUUUAUUUUAAACGGGGUCUCACUCUCAGCAAAAAACGUACAAAACUCAUCAUAUCACACCGUACCCUUUAUAAAGGUAUCAAUAUGCACAUUUAAGAUACUAAUAUGUAACAUUUUGCCUAAAUAAUGUAAAAAGAUGUGUUUUAGCUUUUGUGUCUAAUUAGAGUACCACCCCAAUGAAAGUUUUUGUACCUUUUUUUCUGAGAGUGUAGUGACAUGCAGCUUUCACGAUGUAAAAAGAAAAAAGAAAAAAAAAUACUGCAUUUUGCUUCUUGUGUUUCAUUGCAUACAGCCUUUUGAGGCUUUUGGCAUAAACUGUUAUGUUAAGGUGACUCUGCCAUCUAGUGUUAUGGCGAUGAAUUCUCAGCUGCAUAGACCUUUUUGGUUCAUUCAUUCAAUCAACUGUACUACCUGCCAUUUAUAAUGCUGUUUUACACUUAUUUGUACCUUGUAACAAAUUUUAGUUGUCUGUCCAGUUUGUCUGGCCAGUAUACUGAGUUUCAAAUGCCUCAUUUCACACACACACACACACACGUUUGUUUUUGUGAAAAGUGGGGACAUCCCAGUAAUGGUUUUAUACUGUAGAAAAUUUAUAUUCUAUGGCCCUACACCUAACCCUAACCUUCACAGGAAACUUUGUGCAUUUUUACUUUCUCAAAAAAAAAAAAAAAAAAAUUCUGUAUGAUUUAUAAGAGUUUUGAAAAAUGGGGACAUGGGUUAUGUCCUCUUAAGUCACCCUCUCCUUCUAAUACCUGUGUCAUACCCAUGUCAUUAUACAGAGUUGUGUCCUGAUAUGUCACAAAAACAAGAGCACACACACACAAUCACAAACACACAGAUUUUCUUCAUUUCUGGCUUUAUAAUCUUUGGAUCUGAAACCCCUAGCUAUGCGGGUGUCAGCAUAUCUCAUAACAAUGGCCUACAGUCAGUGCACAGACCCACGGUUUAUGACUAAAAGGGAAAACAAGGUAUACAUGCUCAAUGUAGUGUAAAAUCUGCCAUUCACUCUUACACAGAACCUCAGAUGAUCCUGUUCUUGUCUCUUAUCGCUGUGCAUGUCUCUCAUACAUUGGUUACAUGAAGUUUUCUAACAGGCAAAGUUGUGCAAAAAAUAUUUUGGUACGGUUAAUAAUGACUGGUACUCUUACUAUUAAUAUUUUGUGUGUUUAUGCACAUUUGUAUAUGUAUUGUAUUUUUUCAAUAUCUGAAUGUAAUUUACUGAAAUCUAAAUUCAAAGUGCUAUCUUUUGGAGAUUUCAAGGC